AUUGGGUAUGAGGAUAAAUUUCCAUUUUUUCUGAUGUUGAAUGAUGAACAAACAUGCACUACCAUCUGACCCAUU
This is a small nucleolar RNA of Impatiens glandulifera, 75 nucleotides long. NCBI's taxonomy places the organism in Eukaryota, Viridiplantae, Streptophyta, Magnoliopsida, Ericales, Balsaminaceae. The record is from RefSeq and is a predicted model, not a curated record.